UAGAGUUUGAUCAUGGCUCAGGAUGAACGCUAGCGGCAGGCUUAACACAUGCAAGUCGAGGGGCAUCGGGAGGGAAGCUUGCUUUCCUUGCCGGCGACCGGCGCACGGGUGAGUAACACGUAUGCAACCUGCCCUCUUCAGGGGGACAACCUUCCGAAAGGGAGGCUAAUCCCGCGUAUAUCGGUUUCGGGCAUCCGAGAUCGAGGAAAGAUUCAUCGGAAGAGGAUGGGCAUGCGGCGCAUUAGCUUGACGGCGGGGUAACGGCCCACCGUGGCGACGAUGCGUAGGGGUUCUGAGAGGAAGGUCCCCCACACUGGUACUGAGACACGGACCAGACUCCUACGGGAGGCAGCAGUGAGGAAUAUUGGUCAAUGGGAGAGAUCCUGAACCAGCCAAGCCGCGUGAGGGAAGACGGCCCUAUGGGUUGUAAACCUCUUUUGUCGGAGAACAAAACCCGGGACGUGUCCCGGACUGCGUGUAUCCGAAGAAAAAGCAUCGGCUAACUCCGUGCCAGCAGCCGCGGUAAUACGGAGGAUGCGAGCGUUAUCCGGAUUUAUUGGGUUUAAAGGGUGCGUAGGCGGUCCGUUAAGUCAGCGGUAAAAUUGCGGGGCUCAACCCCGUCGAGCCGUUGAAACUGGCAGACUUGAGUUGGCGAGAAGUACGCGGAAUGCGCGGUGUAGCGGUGAAAUGCAUAGAUAUCGCGCAGAACUCCGAUUGCGAAGGCAGCGUACCGGCGCCAGACUGACGCUGAGGCACGAAAGCGUGGGGAUCGAACAGGAUUAGAUACCCUGGUAGU
Molecule: ribosomal RNA, 796 nt
Filed under: uncultured bacterium
Lineage: Bacteria
Description: bacterial SSU rRNA
Rfam family: Bacterial small subunit ribosomal RNA
Source: RNAcentral